Long non-coding RNA from Colossoma macropomum (tambaqui), 805 nucleotides. RefSeq lists it as uncharacterized. The transcript is spliced from 3 exons. NCBI's taxonomy places the organism in Eukaryota, Metazoa, Chordata, Actinopteri, Characiformes, Serrasalmidae. The record is from RefSeq and is a predicted model, not a curated record.
GAAGAGCAACCACAGAAAAAUAAAGGCAGGACUUUGGAUUCUCAACAACAGAAACACAAGCAGACGGUCAUUAAUACCACCUUCUACCUUCAGAUGUCCUCAAACCGGGACAAGCUCCUAAAUAAUGUGUUUUAGUUACUGAUCAGUCUGGAUGACAGACUGACCGGCGGCUGACCUGUGGGUGUGUUGUGUUCUGCCUUGUGUUCAGGUGUGUUUGCUGUGUUUUCCAGGUGCACAAACAUCUGGAACUUCCUCAAAGCUCCGGAGGCAAGAGUGCGGUCUCCCCUGUGGAGGUUCUGCGCUAUUUCUGCUGCCUGCAGAGAGAAGGGCAGGUGCAACCUAAGAAAACACCACCAGAGGGCAGGAGAGACACGGUGCUGCUGGACACGCAGGCAUACAGAUGGAAGGCAGUGCAGCGCCUGGGAGAGACAUACAGCAUGUCUCGGAUUCGAGAACCACGCGAGCUUUGGUUGCCACCCCUUCCUUCCAGGCCGCUGCUGAUGGGCUUCACUCGGCUGUUGUCUCUUCCACUUGCUCGUAUCUCUCUCUCUCCGUUCCCUCUCUCUCUGGACUCACACUGCUUGAAGGAACCUUCACCACGACGCUACUUCCUGCUGGAGCGAUCCUACGUCCAGUACUACAGAUAGUCACUCCUUCUAAACUAGACAACCGAGGAAGAAACUCAAGGGACUGUCAGGAAUCUGUAUCUCUUUCCUCAGAACUACACUGGAGUAUCCUAACUAAUCUUUAAUAAAAUAAUACACUCAGAUAUUUCUAAACAUUCAACGGCUUUCAGUUUUCUAAC